CCUACGGGUGGCAGCAGUGGGGAAUAUUGCACAAUGGGCGCAAGCCUGAUGCAGCCAUGCCGCGUGUGUGAAGAAGGCCUUCGGGUUGUAAAGCACUUUCAGCGGGGAGGAAGGCGGUGAGGUUAAUAACCUCAUCGAUUGACGUUACCCGCAGAAGAAGCACCGGCUAACUCCGUGCCAGCAGCCGCGGUAAUACGGAGGGUGCAAGCGUUAAUCGGAAUUACUGGGCAUAAAGCGCACGCAGGCGGUCUGUCAAGUCGGAUGUGAAAUCCCCGGGCUCAACCUGGGAACUGCAUUCGAAACUGGCAGGCUAGAGUCUUGUAGAGGGGGGUAGAAUUCCAGGUGUAGCGGUGAAAUACGUAGAGAUCUGGAGGAAUACCGGUGGCGAAGGCGGCCCCCUGGACAAAGACUGACGCUCAGGUGCGAAAGCGUGGGGAGCAAACAGGAUUAGAUACCCGGGUAGUC
Molecule: ribosomal RNA, 465 nt
Filed under: uncultured Klebsiella sp.
Lineage: Bacteria; Pseudomonadati; Pseudomonadota; Gammaproteobacteria; Enterobacterales; Enterobacteriaceae
Description: bacterial SSU rRNA
Rfam family: Bacterial small subunit ribosomal RNA
Source: RNAcentral